CUUUCCCUCUGGCGGCAGGCCUAACACAUGCAAGUCGAACGGUAACAGGAAGAAGCUUGCUUCUUUGCUGACGAGUGGCGGACGGGUGAGUAAUGUCUGGGAAACUGCCUGAUGGAGGGGGAUAACUACUGGAAACGGUAGCUAAUACCGCAUAACGUCGCAAGACCAAAGAGGGGGACCUUCGGGCCUCUUGCCAUCGGAUGUGCCCAGAUGGGAUUAGCUAGUAGGUGGGGUAACGGCUCACCUAGGCGACGAUCCCUAGCUGGUCUGAGAGGAUGACCAGCCACACUGGAACUGAGACACGGUCCAGACUCCUACGGGAGGCAGCAGUGGGGAAUAUUGCACAAUGGGCGCAAGCCUGAUGCAGCCAUGCCGCGUGUAUGAAGAAGGCCUUCGGGUUGUAAAGUACUUUCAGCGGGGAGGAAGGGAGUAAAGUUAAUACCUUUGCUCAUUGACGUUACCCGCAGAAGAAGCACCGGCUAACUCCGUG
RNAcentral lists this ribosomal RNA (490 nucleotides) under uncultured bacterium. RNAcentral describes it as "partial 16S ribosomal RNA". It matches the Rfam family "Bacterial small subunit ribosomal RNA", at positions 36 to 507 of the family's 1533-position model. The record is from RNAcentral.